This 731-nucleotide ribosomal RNA is filed under the name uncultured Bacteroidota bacterium. RNAcentral describes it as "bacterial SSU rRNA". It matches the Rfam family "Bacterial small subunit ribosomal RNA", at positions 63 to 785 of the family's 1533-position model. The record is from RNAcentral. Lineage: Bacteria; Pseudomonadati; Bacteroidota.
CGAGGGGUAACAUGGAGCAGAAGCUUGCUUCACGUCUGAUGACGACCGGCGGAUGGGUGAGUAACGCGUAUGCGACUUGCCUCUUAGUGGGGGAUAACCCGGAGAAAUCCGGGACUAAUACCGCAUAUUCUUAAUUUCUCGCAUGAGUUAUUCACAGGAAAGAUUUAUUGCUAACGAGAUACGGCAUGCGUUCCAUUAGUUAGUUGGUGAGGUAACGGCUCACCAAGGCAUCGAUGGAUAGGGGAGCUGAGAGGCUGAUCCCCCACAUUGGGACUGAGACACGGCCCAAACUCCUACGGGAGGCAGCAGUGAGGAAUAUUGGUCAAUGGAGGAAACUCUGAACCAGCCAAGUCGCGUGAAGGAUGACGGUCCUAUGGAUUGUAAACUUCUUUAGUAGGCGAGUAAGGAUAGGUACGUGUACCCAUUAGAAAGUAGCCUAAGAAUAAGUAUCGGCUAACUCCGUGCCAGCAGCCGCGGUAAUACGGAGGAUACGAGCGUUAUCCGGAUUUAUUGGGUUUAAAGGGUGCGUAGGUGGCUGAUUAAGUCAGUGGUGAAAAGCUAUGGCUCAACCAUAGUCUUGCCGUUGAUACUGGUUAGCUUGAGUGUAGAUGAUGUAGGCGGAAUGCGUAUGUACGGUGAACUGCUUAAUAUUACGCAAACUCCGAUUGCAAGGCAGUUACAAAUACUAUGACACUGAGGCCCGAAAGCGUGGGUAUCACAGGAUUAGAUAC